CUCUGUGUGGGGCGAGCUGCACCCUUAGAGCAAACCAAGCUUCACACUGGAUGGUGGGGCAGGAGCGGGAGAUCAAAGAGGGAAACGCUGUGUUGCUGCACCACAUCUUCUGGGUCUGAGCCUUUUCCUACUUCAGCUGCAAAGCUCAUGCUCGCUGAGCGAUGGUGUAGGCAUGGGGGGAUGUCGUAAUGAUGAUGGAGUCAAAAUGACUGCUUUGCUUCUGCUGUAUGUAUCUUGGAGCUGGAUUUUUCUGUGAAGUCUGUGGAAGCUUGUUACCACGUUAAAUGCCCAGCUUUCAUUAAAUCCAAUCCUGAAGGAAACAUAGAAGAGUGUUUGCCAACUACAAUAGAAAAUCUCUAAAAGCCUAGAUAUGCCCUAAGCAGCAGAGCGCAGAGGUGGGCUGUGGGCUUCCAGCAAGUUACCGCUGCCAGGGAGAUUGGGAGCGUGGGCAGCUAGCUCCGCAGAAGCUGUGGUCCUGACAGCACUGGGUGUAUUCGAACCACCCCUCUCACCCCACGCACCCACUGGUCAUGUGAAUUUUCAGCCCGCCCAGCUUGACUGAGCAUUUCUGUCUGGAAGCGUCUUGGGAGCAGCUUUCUUCUGAGGUACCCGGUACUUGCUGCUUUUGCUUGAGCAUCGUAGAAAUUCAGGGGUCGUCUUAACUUCAAAGGUGCAUGGAGACUGGCCCCCUCCCUCUGUUUUCCAGAAGGAGCUGCUGUUUGUUUCCCGUGCAGCUGGCCAAACCCUGCCUGACCCCAGCGCCGGGUAGCCUGAUACACCCGACGUGAGCGAGCGGCGAUGCAGUGCAGCCUGCUUACGUGCCCCGAGCGGUGCCUGUUUGCAUAACGAUGCCACUUUUUGUCUGGGGCAAAAGGGACGGAAGAGGACUCUCAUUCCUCAUUCAACUACUGUGGGGCAUAUGUCACGGGUAGCACAUCUCAAGCCAUUUCGUCAGCGCCAGAGAGAGGAGUUACGUCAUUCCUAGCGUGGGGUUGGGUUCGGUGUGCCUCUCUUGGGAGGCCACCUCUCCAGCUGGGAAGCCGUGGCAUGGCAGGCAGCCACCAAGCUGCUCCACAUUUGGUGCCUAACCACAGACCUCCCGGCGUACAGUGUAUCCCGCCGGUUUGGUCGUGUAGUAGAACCAGGGAUAUUGCGACCUAUUUAUUUAUUUCAUUAUCGUCUUUGUUGCGCAAAUGUAAUUCCAUUAGAGCUGAUGUAAUGUAGAAUCAGGCCCUUAGGGUAAUGGGCUAAACUAUAUUCUGGCUGUGUAAGCUGAAGACUUUCAGAGGAAGCCUCAAUGCUCUCAUUUUUUGGUUGUCCUUAGCAGAGCAAAUGAAAAUAUAUCAUUGUUCUCAAGAUUGCUGAAUAAAGCAAGUCCUUUUUAAAAUUUUAUUUCCAUAGCCAUAAAUAGUAAAUUUCAUCCAUUCAUGACUGGUUUAUAAAAGAGUUUGCGAACUAACCAGAUCUGGAGAACUUUCUUUCUCAGCAAGUAUUGCAAUAAGAGAAUUGUUUGUGUUUUUAUUACUUUCCCAAUAUUUUUGUUAUUCUCUUUCCUAAGACACGAUUAGAUUUUCCAGUCUUCUGGACAUCAAAGAUUUUGGAGAAGAGAUUGUAUAAACUGGAUAGGUAACAGCUGUUACCAGACGGAUUUACUGGUGGAAAGGGGAGAAGGCUAAUUUCUUUUAUGUGCUUCCUUCCACUGCUGGCACCUUUCACUGUGGCACACUGUUCCUGUCCUGUGACAGGGAAUAUCUUUGCACAGAGGGAGCCCUUGUCCACAGGAUUACACCUACCUUUGGGUUUCGCUGUUAUUUGUAAGUAACUUUUCCAAAUGCCUUCAUCAUAGCUCUUUUACCUGCUGUUCCAGUAGUUUAUUAGAGAGAAAAGAAUAGGAGAGCAGCUCUAUCUGUGGUAGUUAAUAGCACUGACUUACAGAUUUUCACUUCUGACCUUUUCAAGUCAGAAUUUUUGUUUGCUCCACUUCUGGACAUCUUAGGACACUUCAAAGUGGAUUUAUUUCUGUAAAAUAAAAAAUUGUACAGUGAAUUCCCCAAGAAAGGCCACAAAGGACUGAAGCAGGGUUUUAGCUUGAAUAAAAACUGCAGUCUCUCUGCUGCACCCUCCCAUUUAAUGUGGGAAUGAACAUUUGCAUGAAUCCUCUUUAUUUCCUCAUCUGGUGUAAAAUUCCUUGUAAAAUUCUUUAGGAAAGAUCUUGGAGGGGAAAUGCUAAUUUGUAGUAUUGCAAAGUACUAGCUGGUAAAAUAGAUUGUGUGCGUGUAUGACAACGUGAUUUUUGCAUAUUGCCAUGCCAACAAUAUCUGAUCCCAUUCAGAUAACAGUAAAGCAACCUACAGCUUUGACCAGAUUCGAAGAAAGUCACACUACUUCUACUUUUUCUUAUUUUAGGUUUGAUCUACUUGCUUUCACAUUUGCAUGUUGUGUUUUAAAGUACCCACCCUCGCGUUUUUCAAGCUUCAGCAAAAGACAGCACUUUCAAUAUUUAUUGUCUGCAAAAAAUGUCCUAUGAAUAUUCUAAGACAUCCAAUCUGAUCUAAAAAUUUAAGAGGGACUGGCAACUAGUCUCCCUCUUCCUGAGGUAACCGGGAUGAAUACUUUUGAUCCUUCCCUGCUCUGAGCAACAUUAGAGUCUAUUGCUAUUGCAGGAGAAGAGGCUCUGGCUUCACCCAGUUUGUGAGGAUCCUCAGACCUUUGCAAAAAUGCUCAGUUUCUCACAGUUUGACCCUUUUCUGAAAGCUGGCCUGGGGGCACUGGGCACCUCAUCUGGGAGAACACCACUGGAGCAGAUAAUUCAUGUCAAAGGCAGCUGGGCUGCUGUCGGAAGACUGAAUCCUGGCUGGAGAAGGACAGAACAGAAGCCAUGUCCAAAAAACCAUCUCUAAUGUGAUUUUGGGUUUUUUUUUCAUUACGCUUUAGGCCUCAAUUAAUUUCAAACGUUUUUCUUCCGUCUCCUUCAUUUGCUCCCUGACUACUGCUCCAUAUAUUUAAAGCUAAUGACCCCGAAAAGAGAGGAAGUCCUUCUUUUAAAAGAGCUACUGAGCUUUUGUGCUAAGCCCAGAAUAUUUUUUUCCACACAACCAGUGGAGAAAUGAGAACAUCUCUGCCAGCUUCAAGGUGAAAUUCUCCAUCUUUAGUGAGCGUUUAGACUGCAAUCAAGAUGAAACUUCAAAGGCAAAACUACAGAGGAGGCUCACAGGCUAGGUGGGCAGUUUGCUGCAGGAGCAGGGAAAUAAGCCUUAUCCACUGCUCCUCUUGUAGUGGGAAUUUGCCAUUCAGCUGGCACUGUAAACACAGCAAAGAGGUUUUAUCACAAAGAAGAAGUCUGAAAAGGUGUCAGUUUGCAAAAUUGAAGGAGCUGGCAGGAUUUAGAUUCCAGAAACAAAACUGCUAUGAUAAUUGUUUUCCCUUUUGUUCAUUUUGUCUGAUUAUAGUCCAGAACGAAAAAUAUUUCGGUAGCUUGCAAAGCUGGAAGCUAACCAGGUUAUCAGAAUGGGCUCCAGCUCACUGAGGGAUAGCAAGAAAUAUGCUUUUCUUCUUUAGGAUGUUGUUAAUAGUUUUGUAUUGCUUGCCAGCUUAUUAAAACUUUGAUUUGAUUUG
Pygoscelis adeliae (Adelie penguin) is the source of this 3615-nucleotide long non-coding RNA. RefSeq lists it as uncharacterized. The transcript is spliced from 6 exons. Lineage: Eukaryota; Metazoa; Chordata; Aves; Sphenisciformes; Spheniscidae. The record is from RefSeq and is a predicted model, not a curated record.